RNAcentral lists this ribosomal RNA (702 nucleotides) under uncultured bacterium. RNAcentral describes it as "bacterial SSU rRNA". It matches the Rfam family "Bacterial small subunit ribosomal RNA", at positions 54 to 749 of the family's 1533-position model. The record is from RNAcentral.
CAUGCAAGUCGAGCGGUAACAGGUGUAGCAAUACAUGCUGACGAGCGGCGGACGGGUGAGUAACGCUUGGGAAUCUGCCUGUUAGUGGGGGACAACCCGGGGAAACUCGGGCUAAUACCGCAUACGCACUACGGUGGAAAGCCGGGGACCGCAAGGCCUGGCGCUAACAGAUGAGCCCAAGUCGGAUUAGCUAGUUGGUAGGGUAACGGCCUACCAAGGCGACGAUCCGUAACUGGUCUGAGAGGACGACCAGUCACACCGGAACUGAGACACGGUCCGGACUCCUACGGGAGGCAGCAGUGGGGAAUAUUGGACAAUGGGGGCAACCCUGAUCCAGCGACGCCGCGUGGGUGAAGAAGGCCUGCGGGUUGUAAAGCCCUUUCGGUGGGGAAGAAAAGUCUCGGCCUAAUACGCUGGGACCUUGACGUAACCCACUAAAGAAGCACCGGCUAACUCUGUGCCAGCAGCCGCGGUAAUACAGAGGGUGCGAGCGUUAAUCGGAAUUACUGGGCGUAAAGCGCGCGUAGGCGGCUUUUCAAGUCGGAUGUGAAAUCCCCGGGCUCAACCUGGGAACUGCAUUCGAGACUGUCUAGCUAGAGUAUGGGAGAGGGAAGUGGAAUUUCAGGUGUAGCGGUGAAAUGCGUAGAUAUCUGAAGGAACAUCAGUGGCGAAAGCGACUUCCUGGACCAAUACUGACGCUCA